Oryctolagus cuniculus (rabbit) is the source of this 867-nucleotide non-coding RNA. Lineage: Eukaryota; Metazoa; Chordata; Mammalia; Lagomorpha; Leporidae. The record is from the annotation of a RefSeq genome assembly.
CGUCCUGUAGCCACUGACUGCUUCCUGUGUGGGGCAGAGCAUCACACAGCUCGGUAACAUCGCUUGUACCUCUCGAGCAUAGGGUGCAGAAUUCAGGUCUGGAUUUGCAUAGGACAUAGACCAUUUCAUUCAUGGGAAAAGCUACCAAGAUGCGGAUCAGCAGCCUUUUCAGGGCAGUCAUGGCCUCCAUCUGUCUCGGAGCCAGUGUGGCCCAGAAGGUAACCCAAGCUCAGACUGCAACUUCUGUGGUGGAGAAGGAGCCGGUGACUCUGCACUGUGUGUAUGAAACCAGUAACCCUACUUACUACUUGUUCUGGUACAAACAACUACCAAGCGGAGAAAUGAUUUUCCUCAUUCGUCAGGACUCUUAUAAUGAGAAAAACGCAACGGAGGGUCGGUAUUCUCUGAACUUUCAGAAAGCAGUCAGAGCCAUCAGCCUCACCAUCACAGCCUCACAGCUUGUGGACUCAGCAGUGUACUUCUGUGCGCUGAGAGAAAACCCACAGUGCGAUGGGUGCCUGCAGAGGCUCUACCAAAACCUCAGCGGGAGGCAGGGCCUCUGAGGAGAGGUUUAUCAGACAGGAAGAAGCAGGAGCCGACAGCACAGGUGGUGGUGUAGCAGUGAAACCUUAAUUUAAUUCAUGUAGAAUGUCAGGACAAUCCUUUUUGGAAGUAUAUGCAUCUUCUGUUCUUUAGAAUAGAUUGUGAUAAAAUGUAAAUAAAAUAUAAAUAUAAAACAAGAGGGUGCAAUAAGAAAACCAUUCAAACCUGUGUUGGUUCUAUUGAGGUGGGGAAAGUAUCAGAUUAUCCUUAGGCAAUAUGGGUGAUUCCCUUGAUGAGUUGUUAAAUUUUUAGAGUCAUCGAUAU